This 253-nucleotide ribosomal RNA is filed under the name uncultured bacterium. Its description in RNAcentral is "partial 16S ribosomal RNA". It matches the Rfam family "Bacterial small subunit ribosomal RNA", at positions 524 to 776 of the family's 1533-position model. The record is from RNAcentral.
UACGUAGGUGACAAGCGUUAUCCGGAAUUACUGGGCGUAAAGCGCACGCAGGCGGUCAGGUAAGUCUGAUGUGAAACCUUCCGGCUUAACCGGAAGACGUCGUUGGAUACUGUCUGACUUGAGGCGAUGAGAGGAAUGCGGAAUCCCGGGUGUAAUGGUGGAAUAUGUAGAUAUCCGGGGGAACAUCUGUGGCGAAAGCGGCAUUCUGGCAUUUGCCUGACGCUCAUGUGCGAAAGCGUGGGGAGCAAACGGG